Dermacentor albipictus is the source of this 350-nucleotide long non-coding RNA. RefSeq lists it as uncharacterized. The record is from RefSeq and is a predicted model, not a curated record. NCBI's taxonomy places the organism in Eukaryota, Metazoa, Arthropoda, Arachnida, Ixodida, Ixodidae.
CACUGAUCUCUACUACAGGGGAUGAACCGCACAUCGAGCGCCCUCAACUAAAGCCGGCCUUGUCCCGGAAGUUGGUGCUUCACAACUUUGCGGCACCACUUUGUUGCACGGCCUGUGGAGACAAGGUUUCUUAGACAUGGCCAUGGCCCUCAAGGAAGAUGCCGAGGCCACAGGCAGUUCCUCCAGUGACCGUGAAAAGGUCCCCUGGGGCACAAGUCUGGUUUGGCACCCCCACCUUUCUCCUGCAGCUUUUCUGUCUACUUAGCUAACCAGCAGCAAGUUUAUCCUUGCAAGCGUUUGGAGUCAAGAACAACUUUCGCCAGGAAGAAGUGCGAGACGAGUGAUUGAAG